GAAAGGAAAUAUUCGGUAAAAGAUGGGCCCGCAUCUGAUUAGCUAGUUGGUGAGAUAACAGCCCACCAAGGCAACGAUCAGUAGCCGACCUGAGAGGGUGACCGGCCACAUUGGGACUGAGACACGGCCCAAACUCCUACGGGAGGCAGCAGUGGGGAAUAUUGCACAAUGGGGGGAACCCUGAUGCAGCAACGCCGCGUGAAGGAAGACGGUUUUCGGAUUGUAAACUUCUAUCAAUAGGGAAGAAAGAAAUGACGGUACCUAAAUAAGAAGCCCCGGCUAACUACGUGCCAGCAGCCGCGGUAAUACGUAGGGGGCAAGCGUUAUCCGGAAUUACUGGGUGUAAAGGGAGAGUAGGCGGCAAGGUAAGCGAUAUGUGAAAGCCUUAGGCUUAACCUGAGGAUUGCAUAACGAACUAUCUAGCUAGAGUACAGGAGAGGAAAGCGGAAUUCCUAGUGUAGCGGUGAAAUGCGUAGAUAUUAGGAAGAACACCAGUGGCGAAGGCGGCUUUCUGGACUGAAACUGACGCUGAGGCUCGAAAGCGUGGGGAGCGAACAGGAUUAGAUACCCUGGUAGUCCACGCUGUAAACGAUGAGUGCUAGGUGUCGGGGAGGAAUCCUCG
RNAcentral lists this ribosomal RNA (622 nucleotides) under uncultured bacterium. Its description in RNAcentral is "bacterial SSU rRNA". It matches the Rfam family "Bacterial small subunit ribosomal RNA", at positions 202 to 842 of the family's 1533-position model. The record is from RNAcentral.